RNAcentral lists this ribosomal RNA (492 nucleotides) under uncultured bacterium. Its description in RNAcentral is "bacterial SSU rRNA". It matches the Rfam family "Bacterial small subunit ribosomal RNA", at positions 24 to 518 of the family's 1533-position model. The record is from RNAcentral.
UCAGGAUGAACGCGUGGCGGCGUGCCUAACACAUGCAAGUCGAACGGAGUUAUAUAUGAAGUCUUCGGAUGGAUGAUAAUAACUAGUGGCGGACGGGUGAGUAACGCGUGGGUAACCUGCCUCAGUACAGGGGGAUAACAGUUGGAACGACUGCUAAACCGCAUAACACUGCACCAUCGCAUGGUGGAGCAGUUAAAUAUUUAUAGGUAUGAGAUGGGGCCCCGCGUCUGAUUAGCUAGUUGGUGAGGUAAUGGCUCACCAAGGCGACGAUCAGUAGCCGGCUUGAGAGAGUGACCGGCCACAUUGGGACUGAGACACGGCCCAAACUCCUACGGGAGGCAGCAGUGGGGAAUAUUGCACAAUGGGGGAAACCCUGAUGCAAGCGACGCCGCGUGAGUGAAGAAGUAUUUCGGUAUGUAAAGCUCUAUCAGCAGGGAAGAAAAUGACGGUACCUGACUAAGAAGCCCCGGCUAACUACGUGCCAGCAGCAGC